CCCUUAGAUGUCCGGGGCCGCACGCGCGCUACACUGAAGGAAUCAGCGUGGCUUUCUCCCUGACCCGAAAGGGUUGGGAAACCCGUUGAAUCUCCUUCGUGAUAGGGAUUGGGGCUUGAAAUUGUUCCCCAUGAACGAGGAAUUCCCAGUAAGCGCGAGUCAUAAGCUCGCGUUGAUUACGUCCCUGCCCUUUGUACACACCGCCCGUCGCACCUACCGAUUGAAUGGUCCGGUGAAAUCUUCGGAUUGAGACUUUGAUUUCUUCACGGAAAACGUUGUUUUAUAAAGUUGAUUAAACCUUACCAUUUAGAGGAAGGUGAAGUCGUAACA
RNAcentral lists this ribosomal RNA (330 nucleotides) under uncultured eukaryote. RNAcentral describes it as "partial 18S ribosomal RNA". It matches the Rfam family "Eukaryotic small subunit ribosomal RNA", at positions 1470 to 1796 of the family's 1831-position model. The record is from RNAcentral.